AACGAACGCUGGCGGCACGCCUAACACAUGCAAGUCGAGCGCACCCUUCGGGGUGAGCGGCGGACGGGUUAGUAACGCGUGGGAAUAUACCCGACACUAAGGAAUAGCCACUGGAAACGGUGAGUAAUACCUUAUACGCCCUUCGGGGGAAAGAUUUAUCGGUGAAGGAUUGGCCCGCGUUAGAUUAGAUAGUUGGUGGGGUAACGGCCUACCAAGUCGACGAUCUAUAGCUGGUUUGAGAGGAUGAUCAGCAACACUGGGACUGAGACACGGCCCAGACUCCUACGGGAGGCAGCAGUGGGGAAUCUUAGACAAUGGGCGCAAGCCUGAUCUAGCGAUGCCGCGUGAGUGAUGAAGGCCUUAGGGUCGUAAAGCUCUUUCACCAGGGAUGAUAAUGACAGUACCAGGAAAAGAAACCCCGGCUAACUCCGUGCCAGCAGCCGCGGUAAUACGGAGGGGGUUAGCGUUGUUCGGAAUUACUGGGCGUAAAGCGUACGUAGGCGGAUUAGUAAGUUAGGGGUGAAAUCCCGGGGCUCAACCCCGGAACUGCCUUUAAUACUGCUAGUCUUGAGUUCGAGAGAGGUGAGUGGAAUUCCGAGUGUAGAGGUGAAAUUCGUAGAUAUUCGGAGGAACACCAGUGGCGAAGGCGGCUCACUGGCUCGAUACUGACGCUGAGGUACGAAAGUGUGGGGAGCAAACAGGAUUAGAUACCCUGGUAGUCCACACCGUAAACGAUGAAUGCCAGUCGUCAGCAAGCAUGCUUGUUGGUGACACACCUAACGGAUUAAGCAUUCCGCCUG
Molecule: ribosomal RNA, 800 nt
Filed under: uncultured Alphaproteobacteria bacterium
Lineage: Bacteria; Pseudomonadati; Pseudomonadota; Alphaproteobacteria
Description: bacterial SSU rRNA
Rfam family: Bacterial small subunit ribosomal RNA
Source: RNAcentral